Molecule: long non-coding RNA, 677 nt
Filed under: Pan troglodytes (chimpanzee)
Lineage: Eukaryota; Metazoa; Chordata; Mammalia; Primates; Hominidae
Description: long non-coding RNA NONPTRT000023
Source: RNAcentral
GGCAGGGGCGCGGGGUGCGGGCAGGGCCGCCGCUCUCCCGGCUUCCCGCCUAGUGAGCGCACCUUGGACCCCUGCGGCUUUUCUGAGCCGAAACUCACGGGCUGUGGCCGGCUUCGUUUCGCGUCGUGCAGCUCCGCGACCGCCCGUGGCCACACCAGUCGGGGACUUCGUGCUUUACGAUGGGGGUGCAGCGGUCUGGCACGCGCAGGACCCCGGGCCUUGCACCCCAACUCUGGCCGCCCUGGACCCGCGGCGGGGACCCGCGCAGUCAGGGUACCUGCCCAUACCGAUGGGGUGGGGACCAGCACGGAGACUUUCCUUCACUCCGCGGCUUCUGUUCCUUUCAGGACGGACAGCGCCCACCCGGAGGAAAGCCUGACAGACGAGACUUCGCAAGACGUAGUUCUGGGACUGAGCUCCUGGUGAGAGGCCAGUGGCGAGGGAAGAGGGACCAGCAGAGAAAAGAGUGGAGCCUCGGGCUGCUAGCAGAGUGGCAGAAACCGAGUCUGCGAGAGGAAAACAUUGUUUCCCGCCGCCUCCUGCUGAGCCAUGGGGACCCAGGUUGGCCCAUCCUCUGCCACAGCUUGAGCCCCACCCAUGGGGUCCCUGCUUGAUGAGUGCUUCCCCUGUCCUCUCAGACCCUACUUCUGCCCCCGGAGGGGUGUCUGUCCAGGGGA